Molecule: non-coding RNA, 331 nt
Organism: Anas platyrhynchos (mallard)
Lineage: Eukaryota; Metazoa; Chordata; Aves; Anseriformes; Anatidae
Source: RefSeq, a predicted model, not a curated record
GCUGCGUGCGUUGAGGCCUUGCUCAUUGGUCAAUCAUCGCUCAUUUGUGGGAAGUAGAGAGUUUCACUUGCUGGCAUCACAUCUGCAAAUAAGCCGCAUUUAUUGGAUUCAGAUGCUUGGGCCUACGCUAUUUCAAUGAUCACCAUUUUCACGCAGUGAAGCACAGACACUGUUGAGGGAAUCUGGAAACAACAUAGAUCCCACGGCCUGCUGUAGCUGAGCAAACCAAGCUACCAGAGUAACUGUGAGAAGCUCCCACGGCAAUGACUCCCACAUCGCCCAAUUAAGGAACUCAGAAAAAUAUUGUUACCAGCAGCUGGCCUCAAGGACA